RNAcentral lists this signal recognition particle RNA (261 nucleotides) under Gorilla gorilla gorilla (western lowland gorilla). RNAcentral describes it as "Metazoan signal recognition particle RNA". It matches the Rfam family "Metazoan signal recognition particle RNA". From Rfam's summary of the family: The signal recognition particle (SRP) is a universally conserved ribonucleoprotein. It is involved in the co-translational targeting of proteins to membranes. The eukaryotic SRP consists of a 300-nucleotide 7S RNA and six proteins: SRPs 72, 68, 54, 19, 14, and 9. The record is from Rfam by way of RNAcentral. Lineage: Eukaryota; Metazoa; Chordata; Mammalia; Primates; Hominidae.
GCUGGGCAUGGUGGCGCACGCCUGUAGUCCCAGCUACUUGGGAGGCUGAGGCAGGAGAAUCGCCUGAGCUCAGGAGUUUGAAGCUGCAAUGAGACAUGAUUAUGCCACUGCACUCCAGCCUGGUGACAGAGUGAGAGUCCGUCUCAGAAAAAAAAAAAAAAAAAAAAGAGACAGGAUUUUGCUGUGUUGCCCAGGCUGGAGUGCAGUAUCACAAUCAUAUCUCAUUGCAGCUUCAAACUCCUGAGCUCAGGCGAUCCUCCU